GCCCGUCUAGCUCAACGGGGUAGAGCAUCAGAGACAUAAACGGAUUCUCUCCCCGUGGGGAGACCGGUUGCUGUUGAAGAGCUGGUCUUCCCACGGAGGGAGAAUGUCUCUUCUGAGGAUGCGAGUUCGAGGCUCGCGACGGGCG
Desarmillaria tabescens is the source of this 145-nucleotide non-coding RNA. NCBI's taxonomy places the organism in Eukaryota, Fungi, Basidiomycota, Agaricomycetes, Agaricales, Physalacriaceae. The record is from the annotation of a RefSeq genome assembly.